Cinara cedri is the source of this 363-nucleotide non-coding RNA. Lineage: Eukaryota; Metazoa; Arthropoda; Insecta; Hemiptera; Aphididae. The record is from the annotation of a GenBank genome assembly.
GUGCAAAAAAUCUUCCCGGAGCGGGUGAAGUGAAGGCAUCUGAUUUUGUCGGGCGCCUCCCACGAAAUUUCUCUUGAUCACGUCUGCGAACGAAAUUCCAGACACGCCUAUGAUGCUGAUGAUGAUAAGUACGUCAUAUUGCAGUGAGUAUAUUACAGCCCAAAAAUCAGCCUGGGCCACUAUUUCGAGUAGCUGGGCCGAAUCGUGUUUAAAAAAAAAUUACAGUAGAUACGUCAUCGUCACGAAUAUGACCACGCCCUCACCAAAAGUACUACGGACUCUUUGAGAAAACAAAGAACAGAAAUCCGAUGAAACUAUAAGAAAAUAUCGAAUUAAAGAACAUAGGCUUUAAGCCCAGCAUUU